RNAcentral lists this ribosomal RNA (433 nucleotides) under uncultured bacterium. RNAcentral's name for it is "partial 16S ribosomal RNA". It matches the Rfam family "Bacterial small subunit ribosomal RNA", at positions 29 to 507 of the family's 1533-position model. The record is from RNAcentral.
AGCGAACGCUGGCGGCAGGCUUAACACAUGCAAGUCGAGCGGGCCUUUCGGGGUCAGCGGCGGACGGGUGAGUAACGCGUGGGAACGUGCCCUCUGGUUCGGAAUAACUCAGGGAGACUUGAGCUAAUACCGGAUACGCCCUUUUGGGGAAAGGCUUGCUGCCGGAGGAUCGGCCCGCGUCUGAUUAGCUAGUUGGUGAGGUAACGGCUCACCAAGGCGACGAUCAGUAGCUGGUCUGAGAGGAUGAUCAGCCACACUGGGACUGAGACACGGCCCAGACUCCUACGGGAGGCAGCAGUGGGGAAUAUUGGACAAUGGGCGCAAGCCUGAUCCAGCCAUGCCGCGUGAGUGAUGAAGGCCUUAGGGUUGUAAAGCUCUUUUAUCCGGGACGAUAAUGACGGUACCGGAGGAAUAAGCCCCGGCUAACUUCGUG